AUUGAACGCUGGCGGCACGCUUAACACAUGCAAGUCGAACGGCAGCACGAAGUAGUUUACUAUUUUGGUGGCGAGUGGCGGACGGGUGAGUAACGCGUAGGAAUAUACCUUUAAGACUGGGAUAGCCUUGGGAAACUGAGGGUAAUACCGGAUAAGCUCUGAGGAGUGAAGCUGGGGACCUGUGAGGGCCUGGCGCUUAAAGAAUAGCCUGCGUCCGAUUAGCUAGUUGGUGGGGUAAAGGCCUACCAAGGCGACGAUCGGUAGCUGGUCUGAGAGGAUGGACAGCCACACUGGGAAUGAGACACGGCCCAGACUCCUACGGGAGGCAGCAGUGGGGAAUAUUGGACAAUGGGGGGAACCCUGAUUCAGCGAUGCCGCGUGUGUGAAGAAGGCCUGAGGGUUGUAAAGCACUUUCAGUGGGGAGGAGAUUUGAGGGGUUAAGAGCUGCUUAAUGAGACGUUACCCACAGAAGAAGCACCGGCUAACUCCGUGCCAGCCGCCGCCGUAA
RNAcentral lists this ribosomal RNA (508 nucleotides) under uncultured bacterium. Its description in RNAcentral is "partial 16S ribosomal RNA". It matches the Rfam family "Bacterial small subunit ribosomal RNA", at positions 30 to 523 of the family's 1533-position model. The record is from RNAcentral.